UCGGAGGGCUGAUCCAUGCAUCGGUGCUCGAGGCAUGAUUAGGAGUGCUGGGGUUCUCAGGGUUGGUGAUGCCGAGAGUCAGGGAGCGUGGCAUACACUUGGUGAGCAUAGAGAAGGGAGAGAGGCCAGUGGUUUUGGGGAACUCCAUCUGCAGUGUUGGCAGAGUCUGAGUACCACAGCCAGAUGCACACAUGGGUGUAUGAUCAUCUACACGGCACGCCCAGCACCUCCUGAAACUUCCUCGGCCCAGAACGUGGGUCCCAUGUGUGGUUCUAAUCUGCCACGAACCUGCCAGGAGCUGUGCACGGAGUGCUUCUGUGACCUGGACACUGACCUGUAGUGGGUAGCCAUUCCAGCAUUGGUCUGGAAGUUCCAACUCCCAUUGAGGCUUCAGUAACUGUCAUGCCUACAAGGCGGGGCCGAGAGAGGACCCUGAAGACCUGAGAUUGGGAUGUGCCACCUUCUCUUGAUUCCCAGACCCUGAACGCUGGAGGUAGACCGAGCAGAGUUCUCCAGAGAACACCGCCGGACUGUGCUAUGUCUUCCCCAGAACCUGUAGUCUAUCCCUUCAUUUGUGAGUUACCCCACAAAAUAAACCUCCCUUUUAACUA
Peromyscus eremicus (cactus mouse) is the source of this 611-nucleotide long non-coding RNA. RefSeq lists it as uncharacterized. The record is from RefSeq and is a predicted model, not a curated record. The transcript is spliced from 2 exons. Lineage: Eukaryota; Metazoa; Chordata; Mammalia; Rodentia; Cricetidae.